This 556-nucleotide long non-coding RNA is filed under the name Gallus gallus (chicken). The record is from RNAcentral. Lineage: Eukaryota; Metazoa; Chordata; Aves; Galliformes; Phasianidae.
UGAGCUGUGACGUCCCCUGCAGAAAGAUGCCGGUACUCCGGUCUGCGCUGGUAGAUGUACUCUGCGUACUCAUCCAUCCAUACCUCAGCCACCCGCUUCAGAUUUCUUGCCAGGCUGACUCCUGUUGGAACCUUGUAAGGAACAUAUUUUCUGUAGAUAUGACCAACUCUAGAGCAAGGGAUGUCCUCCAUACGACCUCCACACAUCCAUACCUUAAAGGAUAUUUCAUACUGCUCUCCUCCCCAUAUCUCCAGACCUGCAUCAUACCCUCCCAGCUCCCAGAACCACUUUCUAUCGACUGCAAACAGUCCUCCAGCCAUUACAGGAGACCUUAAGGAAAAACCAGACUCCAUAUUACAAACAUAUUCAAAGACACAGAUCUCCAGCUAAAUAUUUAAAAAACAAAGCAAGAUUUCACAAAUAUUCUUUCCAUCACCCAGUGUUCACGGUGCAUUUGAAGUCCUUUAGGAACGAGCAAUUGUUUUUGCAUUAGCUAUUAAUUUCCCAGUGGCAAGUGGAGGACUAGACUAGGCUCCUUUCAGAACCAGUAAAUGCC